Exaiptasia diaphana is the source of this 289-nucleotide long non-coding RNA. RefSeq lists it as uncharacterized. The transcript is spliced from 3 exons. The record is from RefSeq and is a predicted model, not a curated record. Lineage: Eukaryota; Metazoa; Cnidaria; Anthozoa; Actiniaria; Aiptasiidae.
CAAAGACUCAACGAACGAACUUCUCCCAUUUCGUCGUUCGAAGAACUGGCUUGGUGAAACUGCCCAAACUGACUUCAAACGGUAAAGUUUCUAGAUCGAUUGCCCGGCAAUCGUGUCCUGAUCGAACGAAAACGUCUUGGCAAGCAAUAGAAGAGAGUUCUGAAUGAAUAUAUACAAGUACAACCAUGGCAACUGCUUCUGCUUCAGGUAGUUCAAGUAGCUUAAGUCUUGGAGAUGAGCAAAAAAGAUGGCUUGUGGUUGGAAUAUGCCUUAACAAAGAUCUUUUACC